RNAcentral lists this ribosomal RNA (253 nucleotides) under uncultured bacterium. RNAcentral describes it as "partial 16S ribosomal RNA". It matches the Rfam family "Bacterial small subunit ribosomal RNA", at positions 524 to 776 of the family's 1533-position model. The record is from RNAcentral.
UACGAAGGGGGCUAGCGUUGUUCGGAAUCACUGGGCGUAAAGGGCGCGUAGGCGGCCGAUCAAGUCGGGGGUGAAAGCCUGUGGCUCAACCACAGAAUUGCCUUCGAUACUGGUUGGCUUGAGACCGGAAGAGGUAAGUGGAACUGCGAGUGUAGAGGUGAAAUUCGUAGAUAUUCGCAAGAACACCAGUGGCGAAGGCGGCUCACUGGCCCGAUACUGACGCUGAGGCACGAAAGCGUGGGGAGCAAACAGG